GUCUGCAUCUGGUGAAGGGCCACGCGGACGCGGGAGGCCGCCCACCCUGCAAGCCUCCCAUCCGCGGGCUCCGUCCCAGUGCCUUGCCCCUGGCCUUCCUGCCCUCUGCGAGGCGGGGCCGCGGAGUUCCUUUCUGGCCACGGAGCUGCUCCCGUCAGCUUCUGGCUCUGAGCAAGGGGUGUUCUAGCACAGCCCUGGGACGCCCCCCGGCCCCCUCCCUCCUGUCUUACCAGAGACUGAGUGGGGAGUCUGCCCUUGCGUGGCACUGCCGGCUUGGCCUCCCCAGGGGGUGGGGGCUGGGUUCCCACGGGGAGCCAGCCCGUACGGGGCGGGUCCUGCCUCCCAGUUCCCCACCGCACCGGCCGCCACGGCGACCUGACCCGUGUCCAGACUCGCCUUUGGCUCUUUCCUGUGACGAACAGCACGAACGUCUUUCUAGUCCUGAAGGGGAGGCAAGUGUGCGUGUGUGUGUGUGUGCGUGUGCGUGUGUGUGUGUGUGCGUGUGCGUGUGUGUGUGUGUGAGAGAGAACACUCAGAGGCUGUGCCCAGGGUAGGGAGAGCCCCCUGCUUUGUCCCCGCGUGUGGCAGGCACGAGCCCCAGGGCACCCUGGACUCCUCCUCCAGAAGCCGAACUAGCGAAAGGCUGACCAGGUCUUUCCAGCGAUCCCGCGCCCUGCCUGGCUCGUCUGCGGCCGCAGCCGCUCCUCGGGGGGCAGGCGCCGAUGCCCACUGCUGCCCCCCGGCACCCGUCUCCCUCCGCCCAGGCCCGUCGUGUGGGAACCUAGUGCAUCCGUGUGUGUCAGUGUCGGUGUCCCUGUCGCGGUUCUCGUGGCGUCUGCACGGCCCUGGGCGCCGCCCUGCAGCGCUUCGCUCUCGCGGGCCUGCGGGGCAGCCGCCGCAGCCUUGGCGUUUAACAGUGGCUUUUUCUUAGGUAAUCGUGCUUCCUCCGCGCCCAUCGGGUUGUGGCAUCCUUGGGCCCGCGGGGUCUUCUCCGUGUGUUUGCAUGUUCCUUGCUCCCUGGUCCGGUGUGUGUCCCCCGCCUGCAUGGACUUCUCCAGUUCUGUGUUGUGUGCUGAGUGCCCCGGUGUUCUGUGACCACCCAUGUAGCUGCCAAAAAUGGGUAAGCAAGCCAGGGCUGUCGGAGGAGGCGCCCGUCCACCUCGCGCCCCUCCUCCCCAAGCCCCAAACACAGCAAGAAGCAUUUCUAACAGGUGGGCUGAGAACGAGCGGAAUGAUACUCUUGGUUGGGAAAGAGAGAGAGAGAGGGAGAAAGAGAGAGAGCUAGCUUGGAAUCGCCUUUCCAGACCAGAUCGAGCCACCACCCUCCCUCCAGCUGUCUGGACGCUGCUGCCAGGCGCGGCCCACAGCCACUGUGCCCGGGGGCCAGCACCUGCCACCAGCCCCGGCCCCUGCCAAUACAGACCCCAGCCCACCUCGGUCCCCACGGGCCAGGUGGGAGCUGUCGGUUCAGGACCACAAGCCAUCCUCUGCCCUAGCUAGAGGGCGGAGCACACCCCAAUGCUUAUGCCUCCCGGCACCUCCCCCCCCGCCCCCCACCUCCGGAUGAGCCCACGGUGCCAGGGACAGAAGCUGACCUUUAGCUCCCGCCCCGCCCCUCGCUGGAGUCUGUGCCGAGCCCCUUCUCCUCCGUCACUGUGCUCACGCUUGGCACUUGGCUGGCCCCGAAGGAAGGUAGAUGACACGGCCGGAAAUCUAAUCCACACAGUUCCCCUCCACUCCGUAAUCGGAUUGAUGCUCCCUCUUGCACUGAAUAAUACAUGCCUCUCUCAGACUUCCCAGUUUAUUUUCUAAAACUGCAAAGAUCACUUUUGUCACCAGCCCUGGGACCUGAGACCACGGGGUGUCACGGGGGCGGGGUGGGGGCUGGCGCGAGGGUCGCAGCCAUUCCGUGGGGGCCGCCCGUUCCUGAAGGUGUGCUGGGGACCGGGAGAACCCCGAGGCCGUUUCCGGCGGGCUCUCUGUCUGGGCGCUGGGCGUCAGCUCCAGCCUGGACGGGAGCAGGGCCGGGCGCCUCGGCCCGCGCGGCUCCCGCUGCCAUGACUUCCUUCAUCUCCCACGCAGCGUGUACAUCCACCCGGCUAACGAUGGAAAGCGUGUGGCUUCCGUGCGCAGCGGACGCGUGUGCGAGUGGACUCUUGUUAGAAGGGAACGAGUCAGUGAGGAGACACACGAGCCCAAUACGUAGAGUCCCAAUUUUGUCUUCUUUGCCAAAAAAAAAAAAACAACAGAAGCAACCCCCCUAGAGUUGAUAUUGUUACCAUGUACAUACUGUAAAAUAGGAAAGAGAAUUGAUGUAUCUUACUUUUUCAUUAUUUGCUAACCAAAGUUGUACAUUUUUCAUACUACCUGCAGCCUUUUGGGUAUCAAAGGGGUCAAAACCACGGGGCUCCCCCCACCCCUCCGGCAGUUCUGGAAACGCACUAUUUCUACUGGUAUUCUUGCUUUUUUUCUUUUCUUUUUUUUCAUUUUCUUGCUGAAAUGACAUGAAUUGUUAAGUUUAUUUUUACACAGUAAAGAGUGAAGAAAG
This is a long non-coding RNA of Perognathus longimembris pacificus (Pacific pocket mouse), 2548 nucleotides long. RefSeq lists it as uncharacterized. The transcript is spliced from 2 exons. Lineage: Eukaryota; Metazoa; Chordata; Mammalia; Rodentia; Heteromyidae. The record is from RefSeq and is a predicted model, not a curated record.